UGGCGGACGGGUGAGUAACGCGUGGAAAACCUGCCGUAUACUGGGGGAUAACACUUAGAAAUAGGUGCCAAUACCGCAUAAGCGCACAGCUUCGCAUGAAGCGGUGUGAAAAACUCUGGUGGUAUACGAUGGUUCCGCGUCUGAUUAGCUAGUUGGUGGGGUAAUGGCCUACCAAGGCAACGAUCAGUGGCCGGCCUGAGAGGGUGAACGGCCACAUUGGGACUGAGACACGGCCCAAACUCCUACGGAAGGCAGCAG
RNAcentral lists this ribosomal RNA (258 nucleotides) under uncultured bacterium. RNAcentral's name for it is "partial 16S ribosomal RNA". It matches the Rfam family "Bacterial small subunit ribosomal RNA", at positions 96 to 354 of the family's 1533-position model. The record is from RNAcentral.